Long non-coding RNA from Lates calcarifer (barramundi perch), 400 nucleotides. RefSeq lists it as uncharacterized. NCBI's taxonomy places the organism in Eukaryota, Metazoa, Chordata, Actinopteri, Centropomidae. The transcript is spliced from 3 exons. The record is from RefSeq and is a predicted model, not a curated record.
ACACAGUGUGAAGUAGAGGGGUGUCAGGGAAGGUUGCUGAGGCAGAAGGAGUCUAUGGACAGACUGCUGGGGGACUGGUUCUUGCUGUCAUGUAACCUGUAGCUGCAGGCAUUGAAAGUCGUGUAAUUUAACUGCAGCAGCGACUCUCCACAGUCUCCACAGGAACUAACAAACUAACAAGCUAACAAGCAGUCUGUUGUUUGACUCUGGUACACAAGCGAAUCUGAUGAGCCCUGAAGCUCCCGAACACUUUGGAGAACAAUUCAGAGUAAAGGUUUGUCAUGUAGAGGUGAAACAUCUGGCUGUAGUUUCCAUGACUUCAAAAUCCCCUCUGAUGACAUCUUCAACUGAAUGGAAACCUGCUCUGCUUCCUGCAUAAACCACAGGAAAACCCCACAGG